Molecule: long non-coding RNA, 1580 nt
Filed under: Malus domestica (apple)
Lineage: Eukaryota; Viridiplantae; Streptophyta; Magnoliopsida; Rosales; Rosaceae
Description: long non-coding RNA (MDOM_LNC003668)
Source: RNAcentral
CAACAUAUGUCUGCACACGAGUCGGAGUCACUUAAUGUGACCUAUACGACAUGCUGGGUGUAAAUAAGUACGCUUAAGUGCUAUGAUCAUAUGAAAGCUGUGCAAUAAAUUGCAGGUCACCUACGAGUCGGAACCACUUAUUGUGGUAUGUACGAUAAGAUAGCACAAAAACUUGGAUCCAAGGUGAUCAUGUGGUGCAAAAGGUGAACAAUCACGUGAAAGUUGUGCCUUGGCUUCGGGCGGGAGGUGCAGUAUAAUAAGCUUUAAAUGCAUAAAUACAUAGCAAUAUGCAAUGCAACAAGACCAAUCACAUGCUAACUCACCUGAAGCUUACCUGAGCCUCCGCAACAUCAAAUAAUAUAAUUCACAAUUCAUACUAAUGCAACAAUAUAGUAAUAAGCGGUAUAGACAUGGCAUACAAAGCAUAAAUUUAUUUAAAAACAUUUUUUGGAAAUAUCAAAGCUUAUAUAUAUAACAAAUGCCCACUCACUUGAGGUUCACGCUACAACUCCUUAGCACAAAUAUUGAGGCAUCCCGAAUAAUCAUCGCCUAGAACAAAUAGUCACGUCUCAGAAUUCUUAUCGAAAGAACACAUAACUUACAUAAAAACACAUCUCUAAGGAUGUUCUAAAGUGAUUUAGGACUCAUUGACCAAAAGUCAACCGUCGGUCAAAAAUCGACGAUAGGGUCCACAACCCUACGUAACUCGAUUCGGAAGAUCUGCAUCAUAAAUUUCCAAUCCAUAACUUCCAAAGAUCCACAUUAUGCUUUUAAAACAUCAUACUAAAGUUUCAUUACAAUCCAACGUUUGGAUAUCCGCCAAUUGUAAAUUCAAGUGGCGGUUAACGUUUUAUUUUACGAGCUUACAAAUCCAAUUCAGGAAGAUCCGUAUAUCAGAUUCUCAAUCCAUAAGUUCCUAUGAUCCUCAUAUAUUACGUAUUAUAAUGUAUUAAAGUUUGGUGACGAUUCAAUGAUCGGAUCGUCGAUUGCUAUAAUAAUCAAGUGGCAGAUUCUAUCAAAACUAUGCUCAUAAGAUAAGAUUUCAUCAAUCUAACUUCACCUAUGGAAUUGGGGUAUCAAACUUAGUUUAGGAAGGUCAAGGAAUGCCUCGGCCCAUGUGCUACCAUACACAGCGGUCGGUUGCCCGGACUCGCCGAAAAAAUUAACUAUUUCUAAAAAUUCUCAAACUUCACAUAAAUGAAGAUCUCAGUGAGUAAGUUUUAUACAUGUGGCCAAGUCCAAUUUGGCUGAGAAAAGCCCCAAUUUCACAAAAACCCGUCUGAACCCUAGAUUUGGGUCGCUUUGAUUCGACCUCGAUUCGAACUCCAACGCCUCCAAACUUGUUUGGGCUUUGUUCUUGGGUUCAAGGUGAGUGGUUUGAUGGUGGUAAUGGUCGAGGAUGCUUUCAUGAUGGGUGGAUCUCCGUCGUGACACAUUCGGAACCCACGGGUUUCGUUCUUCCUCAAAACGGGGUCAAACUAGGUGGAUUAUGGGUGGAAAUGAACGAGGGGAGUUCGGGUAGAUGUUUAAUAGUGGUGGUAGGACGUGAUUCAUCGGAAAAAUCGCCUGAAUGGCAUCGG